CAGCUCAAGUUUCUCUUCAUUCACGCAUAAAUCUUUCGCCUUUUACUAAAGAUUUCCGUGGAGGGGAACGUUUGCGAGUUAUUGGUAUUUUUGGAUGCUCUGCUCACAGUAGAGCU
Molecule: non-coding RNA, 116 nt
Organism: Pimephales promelas (fathead minnow)
Lineage: Eukaryota; Metazoa; Chordata; Actinopteri; Cypriniformes; Leuciscidae
Source: RefSeq, a predicted model, not a curated record